RNAcentral lists this ribosomal RNA (153 nucleotides) under Alternaria oxytropis. RNAcentral describes it as "5.8S ribosomal RNA". It matches the Rfam family "5.8S ribosomal RNA". Rfam says of the family: 5.8S ribosomal RNA (5.8S rRNA) is a component of the large subunit of the eukaryotic ribosome. The record is from RNAcentral. Lineage: Eukaryota; Fungi; Ascomycota; Dothideomycetes; Pleosporales; Pleosporaceae.
AACAUAAUAAUUACAACUUUCAACAACGGAUCUCUUGGUUCAGGCAUCGAUGAAGAACGCAGCGAAAUGCGAUAAGUAGUGUGAAUUGCAGAAUUCAGUGAAUCAUCGAAUCUUUGAACGCACAUUGCGCCCUUUGGUAUUCCAAAGGGCAUG